Molecule: ribosomal RNA, 499 nt
Filed under: uncultured bacterium
Lineage: Bacteria
Description: bacterial SSU rRNA
Rfam family: Bacterial small subunit ribosomal RNA
Source: RNAcentral
AGCGAACGCUGGCGGCGUGCCUAACACAUGCAAGUCGAACGUGAAAAGGGGCAACCCUGAGUAAAGUGGCGUACGGGUGAGUAACACGUAGGUAAUCUACCCUAGAAUCUGGAAUAACCUGCCGAAAGGCGGGCUAAUACUGGAUAGAGCGACGGAAUUCGUAAUCGGAUUUUCGGGAAAGGGAGCUCGCAAGAGCCUUCGUUCUAGGAUGAGCCUGCGUCCCAUUAGCUAGUUGGUAGGGUAAUGGCCUACCAAGGCUUUGAUGGGUAGCUGGUCUGAGAGGAUGAUCAGCCACACUGGAACUGAAACACGGUCCAGACUCCUACGGGAGGCAGCAGUGGGGAAUCUUGCGCAAUGGACGAAAGUCUGACGCAGCAACGCCGCGUGAGUGAAGAAGGCCUUCGGGUUGUAAAGCUCUGUCGAGCGGGACGAAAAGUUUUUGGGUUAAUAGCCCAAAGAUGUGACGGUACCGCUAAAGGAAGCACCGGCUAACUCUGUG